RNAcentral lists this ribosomal RNA (484 nucleotides) under uncultured bacterium. RNAcentral's name for it is "partial 16S ribosomal RNA". It matches the Rfam family "Bacterial small subunit ribosomal RNA", at positions 30 to 507 of the family's 1533-position model. The record is from RNAcentral.
AUUGAACGCUGGCGGCAGGCCUAACACAUGCAAGUCGAGCGGAUGAAGGGAGCUUGCUCCUCGAUUCAGCGGCGGACGGGCGAGUAAUGCCUAGGAAUCUGCCUGGUAGUGGGGGAUAACGUCCGUAAACGGGCGCUAAUCUCGCAUACGUCCUGAGGUAGAAAGUGGGGGAUCUUCGGACCUCACGCUAUCAGAUGAGCCUAGGUCGGAUUAGCUAGUUGGUGGGGUAAAGGCCUACCGAGGCGACGAUCCGUAACUGGUCUGAGAGGAUGAUCAGUCACACUGGAACUGAGACACGGUCCAGACUCCUAUGGGAGGCAGCAGUGGGGAAUAUUGGACAAUGGGCGAAAGCCUGAUCCAGCCAUGCCGCGUGUGUGAAGAAGGUCUUCGGAUUGUAAAGCACUUUAAGUUGGGAGGAAGGGCAGUAAGUUAAUACCUUGCUGUUUUGACGUUACCAACAGAAUAAGCACCGGCUAACUUCGUG